GAUGAACGCUGACAGAAUGCUUAACACAUGCAAGUCUACUUGAAUUUGGGUUUUUUAACUUAGAUUUGGGUGGCGGACGGGUGAGUAACGCGUAAAGAACUUGCCUCACAGCUAGGGACAACAUUUGGAAACGAAUGCUAAUACCUGAUAUUAUGAUUAUAAGGCAUCUUAGAAUUAUGAAAGCUAUAUGCGCUGUGAGAGAGCUUUGCGUCCCAUUAGCUAGUUGGAGAGGUAACGGCUCACCAAGGCGAUGAUGGGUAGCCGGCCUGAGAGGGUGAACGGCCACACGGGGACUGAGACACGGCCCUUACUCCUACGGGAGGCAGGAGUGGGGAAUAUUGGACAAUGGACCAAGAGUCUGAUCCAGCAAUUCUGUGUGCACGAUGACGUUUUUCGGAAUGUAAAGUGCUUUCAGUUGGGAAGAAAAAAAUGACGGUACCAACAGAAGAAGUGACGGCUAAAUACGUG
Molecule: ribosomal RNA, 468 nt
Filed under: uncultured bacterium
Lineage: Bacteria
Description: partial 16S ribosomal RNA
Rfam family: Bacterial small subunit ribosomal RNA
Source: RNAcentral